RNAcentral lists this ribosomal RNA (252 nucleotides) under uncultured bacterium. Its description in RNAcentral is "partial 16S ribosomal RNA". It matches the Rfam family "Bacterial small subunit ribosomal RNA", at positions 524 to 776 of the family's 1533-position model. The record is from RNAcentral.
UACGGAGGAUGCGAGCGUUAUCCGGAUUUAUUGGGUUUAAAGGGUGCGUAGGCGGGAUGCCAAGUCAGCGGUAAAAAUGCGGUGCUCAACGCCGUCGAGCCGUUGAAACUGGCGUUCUUGAGUGGGCGAGAAGUAUACGGAAUGCGUGGUGUAGCGGUGAAAUGCAUAGAUAUCACGCAGAACUCCGAUUGCGAAGGCAGCAUACCGGCGCCCUACUGACGCUGAGGCACGAAAGCGUGGGUAUCGAACAGG